GGGAUCUGGGGCCUACGUGAAAGAAUGUGUCUGGGCUCGGGGCCAAAGAUGGCCACUUUGACCCUGACCCCAAGGCACAAGUUAAUAAGAAAAUGUCCUGUGUCAUGUUCUUUGUCUGGGCUGGCCACCCCAAAGAGGCACCUGACCGGACUAUAGAAACAUGCCAUCUGUGGGAACAAGAGGAAAUAACUCAAAGUAUCUAAAUGUCUGAAACCCUGAGUCAGAACCAAGAAAACAGUAGAAUAAUAGGGAGUCACAGGCAUAGAACAAUUGGGAGUCUCAGUGAGGAGCCGAUGCUUUGCCUCAGACCCGGACAAUUGGCACUCCCGCCUGCCAUACAAACCAUUGGGACGUCCCCGGCUGAUUGUGGUGUGGAUGUUCUUGGCAGCUCAGUUCCAAGAGGAAGAAAUAGAAGGUUUUAGUCUUAAGGCCUGGGCUGGGAGAUCCCAGAAUGUAUUUCUACUGCAUUCUAUUUAUCAGAGAAGUCCUACGGUGUUCUUAGACUCAAAAGAAGGAGAAAGAAACGCCACCUCUCAAUGGAAGAAAGACACAGGCACAUGAGGAGGGAAGACAGAAAUGGUAGCAUCUUUGGAUGCCUGACAACACUUCAAAUGGGGGGUGCUCUAUAUGCCUGGGUUCUGGAAUAAGGAGGACUCAGCAGAACCCCCAGCUGACUCAUGAUAGGUGAGUCAAGUCUACCAGGUGGAGAAGACAGCUGAGAGUACCUCAUGCAGAGAGAGCAUUGUGUAAAAAGGCACAAAGAAGUCUGAGGACACCAAGGUGGGAAUGUAACAUAGCUUGAGCGGAGUGAAGCUUCAAGAAUGAACCUGGAGGAGCAAGUUGGGACUCAUUCAUAAGGAAGAAAAAGAAUGCCUUCGAGGAAGAUACAAUCACAGAUAACCAGCCCCCAGCUGCCACUGAUGCCCAGAAGUCUGAUUGCCCAGGGGCUUCUCUGGAGUGAAAGAAACACAGAUUACCCCUUUGUUUCUCCAAAACUCCUUCUGCCAAGCCCCUUUGGCAGAAACCACCCGCUGCUUUCUUCUCUCAUUAAGGUGGAUUUGUGAGAGCCUAUCCUCCCACCUUCUCUUUUGGCCAAUUCAGCUAGAUGUUCCUCCAUCCCUGAGUGCUGAGGUCUCAGUGAUUGGUUGACUGCAUCGCAUGCGAACUCCAGGUUAAGAGGUUCGCUAUCAAAAUGACUAGAGUUUAACCUUUGUCAAGGAAGUGAUUUGGAAUCAGUGAAGGUUUUCGAAUAGGAGAUUCUCCCUGUCCCAUUAUCUUUUGGGAAGAUUACUUAGACUUUAGUGUGGAGGCAGGAUGGAAGAAGGGGAGGUGGUUAAGACUUAGACAUGGAGAAAGUUUGGAGAGGGACUUUUCUUAUAGCAUAGGAAAGGAGAGAUGAGGACAUGAACUUUGGUGACAUUAAUGUUUUAUCAUUACAACACUAACAUUUUGGUAGAGAAAAUAUGAAAUUGGGUAGAGAAAAUAUGAAAUUGUGAUUAAGAACUUGGCUCUGAAACUAGGUAUGACAAAGAGAUUGCCACAUAUUGAGGUAUACGGGGUAACUAUUUGAGUUCAAAACUGAGCCAGCUUGAACUAAAAACCCUGACUUAUGGCCUAUCAAAGAUACAUUGUACAUCUGCUUAACCAUUAAAGUAAAGAAUGCACUCUCUUAAGAUAAGAAAGCAUACUUCCAGGUCGGCCUGAUGGCGCAGUGGUUAAGUUUACAUCUGCUUCCGUGGCCUGGGGUUUGCCAGUUCAGAUCCUACGUGCGUACCUAUGCACCACUUGUCAAGCCAUGCUGUGGCAGGCAUCCCACAUAUAAAGUAGAGGAAGAUGGGCACGAAUGUUAGCUCAAGGUUAAUCUUCCUCAAAAAAAAAAAAAAAAGAAUGCAUACUUCCCCUCUUACGCCCUAUUGGUAAUGCCAGGCUUAGUCCCUUUCCUGGCAUCAUGGUCAUGUUGACACGCUAAUUUGCAACUGAAUACCUCUUAGAAAAUUUAUCCUGGGUGUGUUUAAUGUAUCUUCUUUGUCCUAAAAAGAUAUAACACUGUACUGAAACCCAUACUUCUCUGCAACACCUUCUAAGGCCUCCCUCGGUUAUAAUCCUCACUCUGGCUCUUAAUAAACUCACCUCAAUUUUGACUUAUAAAUUGGUUGUGGAUUAUUUGCGUUGACAGGUAGAACCUAGUUUAAAACCCACUUUUGCCUCUACCUGGCUUUAUUACCAGGGCAAGAGUUCCUCAACCUCUUGGCUUCAAAUUUUUCUUUGAAAAUUAAAAUGAUAAUAACAUCUCUUUUUUUAGGUCAUUGUGAGGCUUUCAUUGGAUCAUGCACAUAAAGCACUUAGCAUGAGCCUGGCACAAAGUAAGUGCUCCAUAGGCAGAGGUACAGUGAUCAUGAUGAUAGUGAUAUUGUGGGAAACGGUGUGUGAGACGUAGAUUCAAGUUAGUUCUUCUCAAUCUUAUUCAAUGGUGCAGUGGAAUUCUGGAAACAGAAGAGUCUGAGUCUCAGUACUAUCACUCAUAGCAGUGUCACUUUUGGAAAAGACAGCUGACUUUUUUCUUUUUACUACUUUUUUUAAGAAGACCAUUUCUUUUUAGAGCAGAUUUAGGUUCACAGUAAAAUUAAAAGGAAGGUACAGAGAGUUCCCAUAUACUUCCUAGCCCCACACGUGAACAGCCUCCUGCAUUAUCAACACCCCACACCAAAGUGGUACUUUUGUUCAAUUGAUGGACCUCUGUUGACACAUCACACUCACCCAAAGCCCGUAGUUUACAUUAGGGUUCUCUCUUGGUGUUGUCCAUUCUAUGGGUUUAGAUGAAUGUACAAUGACAUGUAUUUAUCAUUCUAGUAUCAUACAGAGUAUUUUUACUGUCCCCAAAAUCCUCUGUGUUCCACCCAUUCAUUCCUCCAUCUCCACUAACCCCUGGCAACACAGAUCUCGUUACUGGUUCCUUAGUUUUGCCUUUUCCAGGAUGUCAUAUAGUUGGAAUCAUACAGCAUGUAGCCUUUUCAGAUUGGAUUCUUUCACUAGUAAUACGCAUUUAAGAUUCCUCCAUAUCUUUUUCUGGCUUGACAGCUCAUUUAUUUUUAGUGCUGAAUAAUAUUCCAUUGUCUGGAUGUACCACCAUUUAAUUAUCCAUUCACCUACUGAAGGACAUCUCGGUUGCUUCCAAGUUUUGGCAAUUAUGAGUAAAACUGCUGUAAACAUCUGUGAAGUUUUUGUGUGGAUAUAAUUUUAUAGUUUAAAUCCUUUGACUAAAUACCAAAGAACAUCAUGCACUUGAUUGUAUGUUGAGAGUAUGUUUAGUUUUGUAAGAAACCCCCAACUGUUUCCCAAAGUGGUUGUACCAUUUUGCAUUCCCACCAGCAAUGAAUGAGAGUACCUGAUGCUCCACAUCCUCACCAGCGCUUGAUGUCAGUGUUCUGGGUUUUUGCUAUUCUAAUAGGUGUGCGCAGCAGUAUCUUACUAUUGUGUAAUAAUUUGCAUUUCCCUGUGGCGUAUGACACGGAGCAUCUCUUCAUGUGCUUAUUUUCUAUCUGCACAUCUUCUUUGGUGAACUGUCUGCUAAAAUCUUUGGCUCGUUUUUCAAUCGGGAAGACAACCAACUGUUAUGAAGCCCAGUUUCCCUAUCCACAAAAUGGGGGCCUUGCUGCUGGCACCGUCUCCAUCACAGGCUGUUGAGAGCUUCAAGGUGGGGCGGCUUGCUGGCUUUGAUGAACAAGCUGCCUUAUUGGAGAGGCCCAUGUGGUAAGGAACUGAGGGUGACCUCAGGCUAGCAGCCAACAAGAAAUGAGGCCCUCCGUCCAACAGCUGUCACGGGACUGAAUCUUGCCAACAAAUGGGUCUGGAUUAAAGACUCCUCUUCUGAGCUCCCACAGAAGCCUGUCCUUCGCUAACCAUAGCACACCUCACACUGCAAUGCCACCAUCUUUCCUCUAUUAAACAGAGUUACCUGACAGCAGGAGAACAAGCUUCUACAUCUUUGUAACCCUCCCAUGCCUGGCACAGAAGAGGCUUCCCAAUAAAAGACUGUGUUAAAA
Equus caballus (horse) is the source of this 4043-nucleotide long non-coding RNA. NCBI's taxonomy places the organism in Eukaryota, Metazoa, Chordata, Mammalia, Perissodactyla, Equidae. The record is from Ensembl.